UCCAGUGAGAACAGCCUGCCUCCUCCUGCUAACCCUCCUGUUUAAAGGCUAAAGAUAUGGAGGUAGGAGCUGUAAGUCCAAGAUAGGGGACCAUGAAGCAGCAUUUUAUAUGCUGAGGAUUUCACCAGAGGAGGACCAGGAUGUUGCUAUCUGAUGUCAGCUUUCAAGUGCUUUAGAGUCAGAGAGUAGAAUCAACAAGCAGGGGAAAGAUCUAUGAAGCUAUCUGGCCACUGCCCUGACCCAUCAUGAUUUUCCUGAGGAAAUGAAUGUCAAUGGUGGUCCUGAAGAGGAGAGCAAAAUAUCACAGCCUCACACUAAGGACUGGCAGAGUGAAACUGUGGACCAGAAGACAGCUUUUUGGAAGUGGGACUUAGAAGCCAGACCUCCAGACCU
Molecule: long non-coding RNA, 393 nt
Organism: Marmota monax (woodchuck)
Lineage: Eukaryota; Metazoa; Chordata; Mammalia; Rodentia; Sciuridae
Exons: 3
Source: RefSeq, a predicted model, not a curated record